UAAUCACUUGUCUUUUAAAUGGAGACCUGUAUGAAUGGCAUAACGAGGGUUUAACUGUCUCCUCCCCCCAGUCAAUGAAAUUGAUCUGCCCGUGCAGAAGCGGACAUAAUAACAUAAGACGAGAAGACCCUAUGGAGCUUCAGGCAAAUGGUCAAGCUCACAAAACCCUGCUUUUAAAUAAAACCAGGGGAAACAAAAACCACUGAUCAUACGCCUUCGGUUGGGGCGACCAUGGAGGAAAGAAAAGCCUCCAAGUGGAAUGGGAAAACCCUUAAACUAAGAAAAACAACUCUAAGUACCAGAAAUUCUGACCAAAAAUGACCCAGGCUCAUGCCUGAUCAACGAACCGAGUUACCCUAGGGAUAACAGCGCAAUCCUCUCCCAGAGUCCA
This 391-nucleotide ribosomal RNA is filed under the name Gymnothorax tile. Its description in RNAcentral is "partial 16S ribosomal RNA". It matches the Rfam family "Bacterial large subunit ribosomal RNA", at positions 1962 to 2502 of the family's 2925-position model. Lineage: Eukaryota; Metazoa; Chordata; Actinopteri; Anguilliformes; Muraenidae. The record is from RNAcentral.